UACGGAGGGUGCGAGCGUUAAUCGGAAUUACUGGGCGUAAAGCGUGCGUAGGCGGCUUGUUAAGUCAGAUGUGAAAGCCCUGGGCUCAACCUGGGAACGGCAUUUGAAACUGGCAGGCUAGGGUUAGGUAGAGGGGAGUGGAAUUCCAGGUGUAGCGGUGAAAUGCGUAGAUGUCUGAAGGAACACCAGUGGCGAAGGCGGCUCCCUGGACCCAAACUGACGCUGAGGUACGAAAGCGUGGGCAGCAAACAGG
RNAcentral lists this ribosomal RNA (253 nucleotides) under uncultured bacterium. RNAcentral describes it as "partial 16S ribosomal RNA". It matches the Rfam family "Bacterial small subunit ribosomal RNA", at positions 524 to 776 of the family's 1533-position model. The record is from RNAcentral.